Nomia melanderi (Alkali bee) is the source of this 1413-nucleotide long non-coding RNA. RefSeq lists it as uncharacterized. NCBI's taxonomy places the organism in Eukaryota, Metazoa, Arthropoda, Insecta, Hymenoptera, Halictidae. The record is from RefSeq and is a predicted model, not a curated record.
CCCGUGACGACAGCCGCCGCGCCGCGGAACACGCUCGCUCAGGAGCGCGUUGUGCUGCGCGGACGUUCAUUCGCGUUCGCGUUAGGUUCGGUUGUGAAUGGAGCGGGGAACACGGCCCACGGUGCCAUCUUUGCUGCGGGGCUGCUGAGGCUGCGUGUUGUUGUCCGAUGCAGAGACUAUGCAACGCUGCAGUGACGAUUUUGAAAGGGAGCUUUACAGUGAGCAGCGUGAAGCGUCCAAGGUUCUCCGAAGUUCACCGUGUCUCUCGUAAGCAAGGCGGCUUUCGAAAACACGGUGUACAGGAAUGUCGGAUUUACCAUGAAGCAAAGCUUGAUGGAAAACAAUCAGAUUCCUUGUUCCCGUGCGACUGUUAAGGCAUCGCGGUAUGGUAUGCAGCAUUCAGAACGCAUAACACUAACGUUAUGUUUAUCGGGGUACGAUUCACAGGCGCCGUACUGUAUCGCGGCGCGAUACUAAUAUCCCCGGCGCACGAAGCCGCUGCGUUGCAUAACUGUAUUAUUAAUGAGAGACGCAUGCACGUGCACACACGCGUCAGCACGCAUUCAUCGAAUGGGGCUGAAUUGAAAGCGUCUCGUGUUGGCGCUGCUUGUUGCGUCUGCAGACGGCGGACUUUUUUCUUUCGACAUUUUUUUUCUUUAAUUCGAGAAACGGAAUCGGCUGGAUUCCGAGAACAAUAACCCGAGCAUAACUUCGCCGGAGCGUUUCACUGCUUAGCUCGCUCGCUCGCCUAACAGUAUCGCAUUAAUUGCUGCGCUCCUAAAUUAGGAAAAUUUACCAAACAAUAACUGCCCGGAAAUCAUUGAAAUUCAUGGGACGAUAAUGCCGAGAAAAUGAACUGAAUCAUUGAAAUUUAUGAAAUGAUAACGCGAGCGAAGAAAAUUGAAUUGUAAGAGUUAAUGAAUGAAUAGUAAAUGUAAAGGAAUCUAGUUCAUUAAUAUUGGAUUGUUUAAGCGAGAUGUAUGGGAUAAUGAUGAAGAAAAGAAAAUCAAAUAAUUAGAGUUUGUAGGAGGAUAAUAAAAGUAAAUAAAAUUGAGUUAUUGGAAUUUAUAAUAUAUUAGUGGGUAUUCAUUAGUUAAUUAAAAUAUAAAGGUAAUAAAUGAAUAACAUUAUAGGCAAUGAAAACAUUAUUUCUUGUUUAAUUGUUCACCUUUCACACGUUAUUUAAGAUGCUUUUCAUUUUUACAAGAAAAUUUUAUUAUUCCUCGUGGAUUUAUAAUUGUAUCAUUGCAAUUUAUAUCGAAACUCGCGAAUAAUGUUCCGAAUGACAGAGUAAAUUGAGGAAGAAUAGAGAGUAACUUUCCACAUUAAUGAAGUGUGUAUUCGUAGAACCACCAGGGACGAGGCCUUUGUGUUUCGUUCAUGAAAAUAGAACAGAAUCAGCUCUCGUCAGAA